CGAGCGGACAGAUGGGAGCUUGCUCCCUGAUGUUAGCGGCGGCCCGUUGAGUAACACGUGGGUAACCUGCCUGUAAGACUGGGAUAACUCUCGGGAAACCGGGGCUAAUACCGGAUGGUUGUCUGAACCGCAUGGUUCAGACAUAAAAGGUGGCUUCGGCUACCACUUACAGAUGGACCCGCGGCGCAUUAGCUAGUUGGUGAGGUAACGGCUCACCAAGGCAACGAUGCGUAGCCGACCUGAGAGGGUGAUCGGCCACACUGGGACUGAGACACGGCCCAGACUCCUACGGGAGGCAGCAGUAGGGAAUCUUCCGCAAUGGACGAAAGUCUGACGGAGCAACGCCGCGUGAGUGAUGAAGGUUUUCGGAUCGUAAAGCUCUGUUGUUAGGGAAGAACAAGUGCCGUUCAAAUAGGGCGGCACCUUGACGGUACCUAACCAGAAAGCCACGGCUAACUACGUGCCAGCAGCCGCGGUAAUACGUAGGUGGCAAGCGUUGUCCGGAAUUAUUGGGCGUAAAGGGCUCGCAGGCGGUUUCUUAAGUCUGAUGUGAAAGCCCCCGGCUCAACCGGGGAGGGUCAUUGGAAACUGGGGAACUUGAGUGCAGAAGAGGAGAGUGGAAUUCCACGUGUAGCGGUGAAAUGCGUAGAGAUGUGGAGGAACACCAGUGGCGAAGGCGACUCUCUGGUCUGUAACUGACGCUGAGGAGCGAAAGCGUGGGGAGCGAACAGGAUUAGAUACCCUGGUAGUCCACGCCGUAAACAAUGAGUGCUAAGUGUUAGGGGGUUUCCGCCCCCUUAGUGCUGCAGC
RNAcentral lists this ribosomal RNA (810 nucleotides) under Bacillus thuringiensis. RNAcentral's name for it is "bacterial SSU rRNA". It matches the Rfam family "Bacterial small subunit ribosomal RNA", at positions 63 to 852 of the family's 1533-position model. Lineage: Bacteria; Bacillati; Bacillota; Bacilli; Caryophanales; Bacillaceae. The record is from RNAcentral.